Molecule: small nuclear RNA, 106 nt
Filed under: Trichobilharzia regenti
Lineage: Eukaryota; Metazoa; Platyhelminthes; Trematoda; Strigeidida; Schistosomatidae
Source: RNAcentral
AUACAAUAUCUACAGUACAUAUACUAAAAUUGGAACGAUCCAGUGAAGAUUAGCCUGGGCCCUGCGCAAGGGUGACACGCAACAUCAUGAAGCGUUCCAUAGAUUU